CAGAGUAGACGAUGGGGCGUCAAGUGCCUGCAAAACGGGGAGUUGUUUGCCGGACGAAAGCCUUGUGCUGCGGUCCCAUCGUUGCAUCCCGCUG
Molecule: non-coding RNA, 94 nt
Filed under: bovine gut metagenome
Description: THF riboswitch
Rfam family: THF (Tetrahydrofolate) riboswitch aptamer
About the family: THF riboswitch presents a pseudoknot that joins P1-P2 and the loop of P3 and two THF binding.
Source: RNAcentral